Molecule: long non-coding RNA, 217 nt
Organism: Canis lupus familiaris (dog)
Lineage: Eukaryota; Metazoa; Chordata; Mammalia; Carnivora; Canidae
Exons: 2
Source: RefSeq, a predicted model, not a curated record
UGCGCCGCCGCCUCCGCCGCCUCCGCCUCCGCCGCCGCCGCCGCGCCUCCGUUCGCUGACUCGGAGAUUGCCGAAGAUGGCGGAAGCUCACCAAGCCGUGGCCUUCCAGUUCACUGUCACCCCAGACGGUAUCGACCUGCGGCUGAGCCAUGAAGCUCUUAAGCAAAUCUAUCUGUCUGGACUACAUUCCUGGAAGAAGAAGUUCAUCAGAUUCAAG